RNAcentral lists this long non-coding RNA (5681 nucleotides) under Homo sapiens (human). Its description in RNAcentral is "non-protein coding GASAL1:25". The record is from RNAcentral. Lineage: Eukaryota; Metazoa; Chordata; Mammalia; Primates; Hominidae.
ACUGACCAGGUCACCUGCAGCGCGGGCUGACGGCGGGCGACUGAAGGAGGGAGCAAGUCUCCCACCCCCAGCAGCCGGCGGCCGCUUCCGAAGUCUGCCCCCUUCCACUGCGGAGCGGCGCCCCGCGGGCCCCCAGCCAGCGCGCCCGAGGCGCCCCCGCCCCGUGUCGCUCGCGCUGCGUUAUUGGGAGAAGGCGGUUCCUGAGCACCAGCACGGGCCUCGGUGACACCGGAGGUCGCUGGGGUCUUCCCCUUCCCCUUAAGACUCUGGGUCUGUCUGUGGGAAGAGCUUUCAUUCCCCACCCCACUCUAUGCCGACCCUCUCCGGGGGAGGCUCCACUGGCACUGUAGACACCACGUGCUGGGUAAAAAGGCCUGGUCCCAGCGCUUCCCUGUCACUGACUGCUAACCACAAGGCGCCGUGGCACUCAGGAAAUGCGGCAGGGGGGCUGGAGAACUAUCAGGAAGGGGUGUGGGCAGAGAAGAGGCUUCCACCCUGUCUUGGAACACGGACACAGUCCAUGGCAUUCAAAAGAGGUGGGAGGCUCCUCUGUGCACGUGCCUUCCGCCCCCGGGACAGGUGGAGGAGGGGAUUUGACUGGUCCUCACCCUCUGCAUUUAUAGUCUGGGCACACCUUGGGCAGUGCCGCAGGAGGGCGCUGUGGAGUACAGGCACAUGCAGAAGGUGUGGCGAGGGCUUCCUGGUGGAGCUGGCAGUAGGGCAGGGACCUUGAAAAGGAAUGAUUUGAACAGAUCGGAAAAGACAUUCCAGACAGAAACAAAUGCCUGAAACCCAAACCGAGAAGCAGGAAAGAGCAGACUGCGUUCUCGGAAUGGCAGGGAGUCCAGUUUGACUGGAAGACCUGAGGCUCAGAGGCGCAUCACGGCCCAGAUGCAGACCACAGAGGCAGGCACAGUGGCCCAGGAGGACCGAGGACCUGGAGUCACGGGGUUCCGCCCGCUGCCCCUGGGGAACCGAGUCAUGCCAGUUCCCAGACAGAUGAAUUCCUUCCAAGAAUUCCACAGUCCUGCUCAAUCCUAGCCGCCAAGCCUCCUGGCCUUGGAUGGCUGCUGUCUAAUGCAGAUCCUCUUUCAUCCAGAUUUCAAAUAUUUUUCCUAUUCUGUCCUUUGAUCACUAACGUUUAUGUUUAUCUACAUCAGCAUCCCUCAAUCCUGACGGCACUCUGAAAUUAUCUAGGGGUGCUUUAAAAAAGAAAAAUGUUGAUGCAUGGCCCUCCUCCAGGAAAUCUGAUUUUAUUGGUCUGGGGUGGGGCCCAGGCAUCAGCAGACUUUUAAUGAGCAGUUAGAGAGGAGAACCACUGAUGGAGAUGGUCACCAGGGAGUGUCCAGGUCAGACCGCCACAGAAGAGUGCAGCCUCCUGGCCUUCAGACCCAACUGGGACAAACCCUGAGAACAGCCUUGGCAGACCUCCAGGGGCAGCUGGACUCCCUGAGGCUGGAUGUUGCAGCCUCUCCCAGGCAUCCACUCUGCAGCUGAGGCCAAAGUUUCCAACGGGAAGGGAGGGUGAGGCUUCUAUUUGUUUCCCAAGAGCCAGCUGACCUUUGAAGCUAGUGAUAACCACCACAAACCUCACUGGUGGGAGAACGAGGCACUGCAGCCAGUUCUCAUCAACCCCACAUCCCUGCAGGGGGCCCCAAGGCGGAUGUGUCACCAUCCUCUGCAACGCUGGGCCUCAGAGGUGGAGGAGGCCCAGCCAUGGCCAGAUGGGGGAUCUGGGGAACAGGUCCUCUGCUUUCUGGGAAAAUAGAGGAGAGUCUCCGAGUCUGGGCCUUGCCACUCCUCACUCAGCAUCUGACCAUCCCCACCUCCUGGAUCUACAGGGUUCAUAGAGGAGGACCCAGAAGAGGGAAAGUCAGGCUGAGGAACUUGGCCUCCCUGCUGCAAGGGAAAUGACAUCGGUUACCAAGGAGGUGACCAGCUAUCCUUUUCCAAGACUGAAAAGCAGAAAUACGGCCCUGAGGCUAGAGGGUCUAAGAGAACAAUAGGAAGAAUUUCCUGACAAAGGACAAUGUUGCCUAAAGGACUCAGGAAGCUCUGUGAAAACAGGAGACUCCCGAGCAGAGCACCAGACCCUUCUCCACCAGGCAGUGUUUUUCCCAUAUGACAGGUGAGAAAACUGAGGCUGAGAGACAUGUAAUAACUUGCUGAAGCAGCAACCAGCACACCAUAUAGCUGAAAUCUGUAGAUCAGCAGUUAAAAGUGGUAGGGCAAGUCCUCUCUGACUUUCAGCGCUAAGAGCCUAGGAUUCUGUGUUUUUCUGCUUAAGCCUGGGAAUCAGAGUCCUACAAAAGCCGCGCCUAAUCCUGGGGGUGUGGGCUUUAAACCCAGAGAGAAAGCAUGUUAUUGGAAUACUCCUGCACUUUUCUCCCUUUGAAUCCCACCACGGAAAGAAAAUUCUGUGACGUGUACCCAGUAUUUAUUGGAGGGUAUUUCCUAGCAAGAAAAUGAGGGCGAUUGACCAGGCACGGUGGCUCACGCCUGUAAUCCCAGCACUUUGGGAGGUCAAGGUGAGUGGAUCACAUGAGGUCAGGAGUUCGAGACCAGCCUGACCAACAUGGAGAAACCCCGUCUCUACUAAAAAUACAAAAUUAGCCGGGCGUGGGGUGGCGCAUGCCUGUAAUUCCAGCUACUCCUGAGGCUGUGGCAGCAGAAUCGCUUGAACCCGGGAGACAGAGGUUGCAGUGAGUUGAGAUCAAGCCAUCGCACUCCAGCCUGGGCAACAGAGUGAGACUCUGUCAAAAAAGAAAGUGUGGUACAUCUAUACUAAUGGAGUACUAUUUAGCCGUCAAAGAAAAAAAAGAAAAGAAAAAGAAAGAGAAAGAAAGAAAGAAGGAAAGAAAGAAAGAAAAAGAAAAUGAAGGCGAUUGUCAACAGCCUCUGGAAAUACAGAGCAGGGUCCAGAAAUGGCCCCUUCUUAGAUGGCGGGCUGGACAGUGCUGCUCCUUCUUAGCCACUGGCGGCAGAAAGACAAAGCCUGGUAAUUGUUCUUGGGAUUCUCCCUGUCACCUCUCCUUGUAGGUCACAAGCUUCCUGAUGCGACAGCCCGUGGGACUACUAGAAGGAAAGAUACUCCUUUUCCCAUUUUACAGAUCAGGAAACUGAGACUGGACAGAAACACCACCAGGAUUGAACUGUGAAUGGAUCUGACUCCAACCCACAAAUUCUUCACCUGGUCUCGAAAAGAGGCCCUGGCAACCUACUGCGCACCAGAGGGGAACCCGCCCGCCGUCCCAGGCCGGGCUCUCCCUGCUGCGGAGCGGCCCGGGCGCGGCGGGACAGGGAACGGAAGGAACGGGCUUGGCGCGCACUCGCCGAGGCCCAGGCAGGAUUCGAGCGCCAGGGAGGCGCCCAUUUCCCUUCCCCCGCGCCUGGGAACGCGGUGCUGGGGGCGGGGCCCGACCGCUGCCCCCUCCAAACGCCUCGACCGCCAGGUGCCCCGAAGCCCGGCCUCCCCUCCCACCCCCGCGCCUGUUCCCGGCGCAGCCCGAGCCGUGGCAGUCACGUCUCCCCAUCCGGCCCCAAAGGCUUCUUAUCUGCAAAUCUAUGCAUGUAUGCAUUCUUUAGAGGAUAAAAAAGGCCGGUGGUGACUCAUGCUGGUAAGCCCAGCUACUCAGGAGACUGAGACGAGAUGAUCUAGGGUAUCGCUUGAGCCCAGGAGUUCAAGGUUGCAGUGAGCUAUGAUGACACGACUGCACUCCAGCCUGGGUGACAGAGCAGGGCCUUAUUAAUAAAUUAAUUAAUUUAUAAAUUAAUAAAUUAAUUUAUAAAUUAAUAAAUUAUACAAUAUUGUCAGCUUUGUGAACGCAGAGGCCUUAUUUUGUUCACUGCUCUAUCCUCAGUGCCUGGAACACUGGUAGUUGUCUGGGUGCUCAAAAACCAUUUGUUGUUUCUACCAAAAUGGAAUCAUGCUUUACACAGUAGGACCAUCAUUUUUAGCAUACUUAAAUGUGCUAGUAUGAUGCCCCGACCCCCUCAAUGAGAAUAUGUGAGAGAUGGAUGGUCCACUGGCCUCUUUUUUUGUUUUUUUUUUUAGGCGGAAUUUCGUACUUGUUGCCCAGGCUGGAGUGCAAUGGCCCCAUCUCGGCUCACUGCAACCUCUGGCUCCUGGGUUCAAGUGAUUCUCCUGCCUCAGCCUCCCGAGUAGCUGGGAUUACAGGCAUGCACCACCACACCUGGCUAAUUUUGUAUUUUUAGUAGAGACGGAGUUUCUCCAUGUUGGUCAGGCUGGUCUCGAACUCCCGACCUCAGGUGAUCCGCCUGCCUUGGCCUCCCAAAGUGCUGAGAUUACAGGCCUGAACCACCGCGCCUGGCCCCACUGGCCUCUUUAACAAGAAUCUGGAGGCCAGAUGUGUUUGGGAUUUAGAAUUAUUCACAGUGCGCAUAUAAGGUGACUCUCCACCAUGCUCAGUCCCAUCACAUGUUCUGUAGCACCAUGUUUUGCUCCUUCAAAGCUGACUGCUGUAGUCUCACAAGUUUAUGUUAAUCCCAUCCAUGCCUGUCUCUCUCAGGAAACCACCCUGUCUGGUUUGCUCACCAUAGUACUCUCAGCAUGGAGUGGGUGCUCCAUAAAUAUGUGUUGGAUGAACGAAUGAAUGAAUGAAUAAAUGAAUGAAUGAAUGAAUGAUGAAUACUCUAUCCUGUUUGCCUCCCCUGGAGUCAUGUGUGGAGUUCUGUUUAUCCCAUCUCAGGACAAGCCCCAGAGAACCAGAAUCAUAGAAAGGGGGAGGUGUUAGUUUGCCCAUCCAACAGAGCAUCUGUUAUGUGCCAGGCUCUGUGCUAGGCUGUGGGGAUCUAAAAAAGAUGCAGGCCAGGGGUGAUGGCUCACGCCUGUAAUCCCAGCACUUUGGGAGGCUGAGGCAAAUGGAUCACUUGAGGUCAGGAGUUCAAGACCAGCCUGGACAACAUGGCAAAACUCCAUCUCUACUAAAAAAAAAAAAAAAAAAAAGCCAGGCGUGGUGGUGGGAGCCUGUAAUCCCAGCUACUUGGGAGGCUGAGACAGGUGAAUCACUUGAAACUGGGAGGUGGAGGUUGCAGUGAGCUGAGAUCUCACCACUGCACUCCAGCCUGGGAGAAGAGCGAGACUGAAAAGACCUGUCAGCAGGGUCAAAACAGGGAGCAGGUGGCAUGCUCAAGGGUGUGGACAAGGUGUAGGAUAGCCAGGGGAUGGUCCAGUUCCCGGGAGCCAAAGGGGAAAGGCAAGAGGAGGGAGCGGUUAACCAGACCUAGAGAGAGAGGGCAAGCUAGGUGCAGGGCCCCUUCAAGGGCUCCAGCCUCUGCUGGGAGAUUCAGCCCGCCAGAGGCAACUGGACAGGAAAUGAGCCCAGGAAGGACUACCCUGACCCCACUAUCCUCCCCCAGGCUUCUCCGCUCCACUUUGCUUGACCACAAAGCAAAGAGGCAGGGGAAGCAUUGAGGCAGUCUGUGAACAUCAGCCUCCAGGUGCAGAGCAGGGUGGAUGGUGGGUGGCAGGACAGCUGGAAGCUAUCCAGUACCAAGAAUGAGGCUGUGAUAGCCAACAGGAACAGGAAGGGAUGUGAUCAUAGUCACAGAUACCAUGACCACAGGCUUGGCCUGGACUGGGUUUGGGCUGGCAGAGAGAGGUCAGAAGCAUAAUGACCCUUGCAGAGGGAGUGUCAUCAAAUUAAGUAAAGUUGGGGCCA